UACAGAGGUCUCAAGCGUUGUUCGGAUUCAUUGGGCGUAAAGGGUGCGUAGGUGGCGCCAUAAGUCGGGUGUGAAAUCUCGGGGCUUAACUCCGAAACUGCAUUCGAUACUGUGGUGCUUGAGGACUGGAGAGGAGACUGGAAUUCAUGGUGUAGCAGUGAAAUGCGUAGAGAUCAUGAGGAAGACCAGUGGCGAGGGCGGGUCUCUGGACAGUUCCUGACACUGAGGCACGAAGGCCAGGGGAGCAAACGGG
RNAcentral lists this ribosomal RNA (253 nucleotides) under uncultured bacterium. RNAcentral describes it as "partial 16S ribosomal RNA". It matches the Rfam family "Bacterial small subunit ribosomal RNA", at positions 524 to 776 of the family's 1533-position model. The record is from RNAcentral.